This 484-nucleotide ribosomal RNA is filed under the name uncultured bacterium. RNAcentral's name for it is "partial 16S ribosomal RNA". It matches the Rfam family "Bacterial small subunit ribosomal RNA", at positions 30 to 507 of the family's 1533-position model. The record is from RNAcentral.
AUUGAACGCUGGCGGCAGGCCUAACACAUGCAAGUCGAGCGGACAAACGAAGCUUUCUCCUGGCUUAAGCGGCGGACGGGCGAGUGAUGCCUAGGAAUCUGCCCUGUCGUUGGGACUAACGUACCUAAAGGGGCGCUAAUACCGCAUCCGACAUUAUGUUGAACGGGGGGGAUCUUUGGACCUCGAGCUUUUUGCUGUGCCUAGGCCGGAUUAGCUAGUUGGUGGGGUAAGGGCCUACCAAGGCGACGAACCGUAGCUGGGCUGAGAGGCUGAUCUGCCACACUGGAACUGAGACACGGUCCAGACUCCUACGGGAGGCAGCAGUGGGGAAUCUUGGACAAUGGGCGAAAGCCUGACCGAGCCAUGCCGCGUGUGUGAAGAAGGUCUUCGGAUUGUAAAACACUUUAAGUUGGGAAGAAGAAAUGUAAAUGUAUCCCUGCAUGUCUUGACGGUACCAACAGAGUAAGCACCGGCUAACUACGUG